Molecule: ribosomal RNA, 468 nt
Filed under: uncultured bacterium
Lineage: Bacteria
Description: partial 16S ribosomal RNA
Rfam family: Bacterial small subunit ribosomal RNA
Source: RNAcentral
GACGAACGCUGGCGGCGUGCUUAACACAUGCAAGUCGAACGGCGAAGGACUGGCUUGCUCUGGUGCUCCAGUGGCGAACGGGUGAGUAACACGUGAGUAACCUGCCCCAGACUCUGGAAUAACCGCUGGAAACUGCGGCUAAUACCGGAUACGAGCUAGAGCUGCAUGGCGAGUGUCGGGAAGGUUCGGCGGUCUGGGAUGGACUCGCGGCCUAUCAGCUUGUUGGUGGGGUAACGGCUUACCAAGGCAAUGACGGGUAGCCGGCCUGAGAGGGCGACCGGCCCAAUUGGGAACGAGGACACGCCCAGGCUUCUUCGGGAGGGAGGCGUUGGGAAUAAUUGCCCAUGGGGCGAAGGCCUAAUGCGGAGAGCCGCGUUGGGGGUUGCGGCCCUCCGGUUGUAAAACGUCUUUGCGCGGGACAGAGGGGGAGGUGCGGUUACCGGCAGAAGAAGCCCCGGCUACCUCCGG